ACAAAAUUAAAUAGCGGGAAAUUUAUACCAAAAUGAAUUAAUGUUAAUUUGGUUUCUUUUUAAAAUGUAUAUUUAUUUUACGGUAUUUUAUAAAAAUAAUUAAGUGAUAGAAUAGUUAUAAAAUAUAAAUCGUCAAAACAUCCAAUUAUAAAAAAAAUAAUUAUAAGCGGGAUUUGCUGUCAUGAAGAACGCAGUCAAAAAAUGACAAAAAACUACUAACGUAACAUUAAUUUUGCAGAAUAACUGACGAAAUUUGUGUACAGAAUUAUUGAAAUAUAAAUGGGAUUGCUGAAAACUUAAAAUGUAGUAACCAAAAUUAUUACUAAUCUAACCAUCGAAGAAGUGGUUGUUACUCAAUUACCUAAGCAAAAAUAACUAAUAGAAGGUGGAAUGACAGAUAUGGGUGCAUGAUGUAUGUUUCAAAUCAAUCUUAAAUAAUAUCAAAAUGUUUUUUUUUUUUUUACUGUAGCUAUACAGUUUUUUUAUAUAUUCUUAACUUGAAUUGAAUUUAUU
Daktulosphaira vitifoliae (grape phylloxera) is the source of this 513-nucleotide long non-coding RNA. RefSeq lists it as uncharacterized. Lineage: Eukaryota; Metazoa; Arthropoda; Insecta; Hemiptera; Phylloxeridae. The transcript has 3 exons. The record is from RefSeq and is a predicted model, not a curated record.